This 423-nucleotide ribosomal RNA is filed under the name uncultured soil bacterium. RNAcentral's name for it is "bacterial SSU rRNA". It matches the Rfam family "Bacterial small subunit ribosomal RNA", at positions 26 to 435 of the family's 1533-position model. The record is from RNAcentral.
AGAUUGAACGUUGGCGGCAUGCCUUACACAUGCAAGUCGAACGGCAGCACGGGAGCAAUCCUGGUGGCGAGUGGCGAACGGGUGAGUAAUAUAUCGGAACGUGCCCAGUCGUGGGGGAUAACGUAGAGAAAUUUACGCUAAUACCGCAUACGAUCCAAGGAUAGAAAGGCGGGGGACCGUAAGGCCUCGCGCGACUGGAGCGGCUGAUAUCAGAUUAGCUUUGGUGUGAGGUAAAGCUCACCAAGGCGACGAUCUGUAGCUGGUUUGAGAGAACGACCAGCCACACUGGGACUGAGACACGGCCCAGACUCCGUACGGGAGGCAGCAGGUGGGUAAUUUUGGACAGUGGGACGAAAGCCUGUACUCCAGCAAUCGCCGUCGGUGCAAGGGAAGAAAGGUCCGUUCGGGUUUAGUAAACGUUGU